RNAcentral lists this ribosomal RNA (235 nucleotides) under uncultured bacterium. Its description in RNAcentral is "partial 16S ribosomal RNA". It matches the Rfam family "Bacterial small subunit ribosomal RNA", at positions 15 to 248 of the family's 1533-position model. The record is from RNAcentral.
GAUCAUGGCUCAGGACGAACGCUGGCGGCGUGCUUAACACAUGCAAGUCGAACGGUGAAGCUCCAGCUUGCUGGAGUGGAUCAGUGGCGAACGGGUGAGUAACACGUGAGCAACCUGCCCCUGACUCUGGAAUAAGCGCUGGAAACGGCGUCUAAUACUGGAUACGAGAAGGGCCCGCAUGGGCACUUUCUGGAAAGUUUUUCGGUUGGGGAUGGGCUCGCGGCCUAUCAGCUUG